Molecule: ribosomal RNA, 468 nt
Filed under: uncultured bacterium
Lineage: Bacteria
Description: partial 16S ribosomal RNA
Rfam family: Bacterial small subunit ribosomal RNA
Source: RNAcentral
GACGAACGCUGGCGGCGUGCUUAACACAUGCAAGUCGAACGGAAAGGCCCUGCUUUUGUGGGGUGCUCGAGUGGCGAACGGGUGAGUAACACGUGAGUAACCUGCCCUUGACUUUGGGAUAACUUCAGGAAACUGGGGCUAAUACCGGAUAGGAGCUCCUGCUGCAUGGUGGGGGUUGGAAAGUUUCGGCGGUUGGGGAUGGACUCGCGGCUUAUCAGCUUGUUGGUGGGGUAGUGGCUUACCAAGGCUUUGACGGGUAGCCGGCCUGAGAGGGUGACCGGCCACAUUGGGACUGAGAUACGGCCCAGACUCCUACGGGAGGCAGCAGUGGGGAAUAUUGCACAAUGGGCGGAAGCCUGAUGCAGCAACGCCGCGUGCGGGAUGACGUUCUUCGGGUUGUAAACCGCUUUCGCCUGUGACGAAGCGUGAGUGACGGUAAUGGGUAAAGAAGCACCGGCUAACUACGUG